RNAcentral lists this ribosomal RNA (1375 nucleotides) under Lactiplantibacillus plantarum. Its description in RNAcentral is "bacterial SSU rRNA". It matches the Rfam family "Bacterial small subunit ribosomal RNA", at positions 62 to 1413 of the family's 1533-position model. The record is from RNAcentral. Lineage: Bacteria; Bacillati; Bacillota; Bacilli; Lactobacillales; Lactobacillaceae.
UCUGGUAUUGAUUGGUGCUUGCAUCAUGAUUUACAUUUGAGUGAGUGGCGAACUGGUGAGUAACACGUGGGAAACCUGCCCAGAAGCGGGGGAUAACACCUGGAAACAGAUGCUAAUACCGCAUAACAACUUGGACCGCAUGGUCCGAGCUUGAAAGAUGGCUUCGGCUAUCACUUUUGGAUGGUCCCGCGGCGUAUUAGCUAGAUGGUGGGGUAAUGGCUCACCAUGGCAAUGAUACGUAGCCGACCUGAGAGGGUAAUCGGCCACAUUGGGACUGAGACACGGCCCAAACUCCUACGGGAGGCAGCAGUAGGGAAUCUUCCACAAUGGACGAAAGUCUGAUGGAGCAACGCCGCGUGAGUGAAGAAGGGUUUCGGCUCGUAAAACUCUGUUGUUAAAGAAGAACAUAUCUGAGAGUAACUGUUCAGGUAUUGACGGUAUUUAACCAGAAAGCCACGGCUAACUACGUGCCAGCAGCCGCGGUAAUACGUAGGUGGCAAGCGUUGUCCGGAUUUAUUGGGCGUAAAGCGAGCGCAGGCGGUUUUUUAAGUCUGAUGUGAAAGCCUUCGGCUCAACCGAAGAAGUGCAUCGGAAACUGGGAAACUUGAGUGCAGAAGAGGACAGUGGAACUCCAUGUGUAGCGGUGAAAUGCGUAGAUAUAUGGAAGAACACCAGUGGCGAAGGCGGCUGUCUGGUCUGUAACUGACGCUGAGGCUCGAAAGUAUGGGUAGCAAACAGGAUUAGAUACCCUGGUAGUCCAUACCGUAAACGAUGAAUGCUAAGUGUUGGAGGGUUUCCGCCCUUCAGUGCUGCAGCUAACGCAUUAAGCAUUCCGCCUGGGGAGUACGGCCGCAAGGCUGAAACUCAAAGGAAUUGACGGGGGCCCGCACAAGCGGUGGAGCAUGUGGUUUAAUUCGAAGCUACGCGAAGAACCUUACCAGGUCUUGACAUACUAUGCAAAUCUAAGAGAUUAGACGUUCCCUUCGGGGACAUGGAUACAGGUGGUGCAUGGUUGUCGUCAGCUCGUGUCGUGAGAUGUUGGGUUAAGUCCCGCAACGAGCGCAACCCUUAUUAUCAGUUGCCAGCAUUAAGUUGGGCACUCUGGUGAGACUGCCGGUGACAAACCGGAGGAAGGUGGGGAUGACGUCAAAUCAUCAUGCCCCUUAUGACCUGGGCUACACACGUGCUACAAUGGAUGGUACAACGAGUUGCGAACUCGCGAGAGUAAGCUAAUCUCUUAAAGCCAUUCUCAGUUCGGAUUGUAGGCUGCAACUCGCCUACAUGAAGUCGGAAUCGCUAGUAAUCGCGGAUCAGCAUGCCGCGGUGAAUACGUUCCCGGGCCUUGUACACACCGCCCGUCACACCAUGAGAGUUU